This is a non-coding RNA of Podarcis lilfordi (Lilford's wall lizard), 74 nucleotides long. The record is from the annotation of a GenBank genome assembly. Lineage: Eukaryota; Metazoa; Chordata; Lepidosauria; Squamata; Lacertidae.
GCCUGGAUAGCUCAAUUAGUUAGAGCGUGGUGCUGAUAACACCAAAGCUGCAGGUUCGAUCCUCGUAUGGGACA